RNAcentral lists this long non-coding RNA (1231 nucleotides) under Canis lupus familiaris (dog). Its description in RNAcentral is "lncRNA (ENSCAFG00845013027.1)". The record is from RNAcentral. Lineage: Eukaryota; Metazoa; Chordata; Mammalia; Carnivora; Canidae.
CUGGAUGUGACCACCUGUUGGACUAGAGAGCUGUUGGGGCUUUUGUGUCUGCUCUCCUUUGCUGCCCUUUGGGGCUGUCAGCGUCUCCAAGGGACUGGGUUUGAGGGAAAAAUGCUGUCCGACUGCUCGAGGGAGGGGACAUGUGAGCCAGGGUCUGAGGGGUGCGCUGCCUGGGACCUGCCCAGGGUGCAAUGACAUGGAGGGAAUCAAGAGGCGAGCCACGUGGAUGGUGUUCUAGGGUGAAACUGCAGAACCUUGAUCACCAGGCUAAGUACUUUGGACGUUUCUUCCUGAAGGCAGUUGGAUUCCUUUAAAGGCAAAUCUGACAUGUGCCAGGGAGACUGUCCCUGCCCACGCCUUCAGCUGUUUUGGAAAGUCCUUGCAGCCAGAAGUGCUCAUUAGCUGCGGCUCUCUGCCAGCCUCCUCCUGGGAGGGACAUUGUCCUGCUUCCCGGCUCCUCACCAUCUGCGGACCCACCCCAGGGCCCAAGUGAGAAAGAGGACCUGCUGGGUGAGCACUUUCCUGGAUGCAGGAGAAGGCUGGGAGCCGCGCCCUGACAGAACCGGGAGCAGCAGGACAUGUCCGCGGGCGGGAAGCCACAGCAGAGCCAGGAGGACUGUCACUCUAGGAGAAAGCUACAGUCCUGCUGGAAGCUCAGAAGAGACACACUGUUUGCUCUGGUUUGCUUGCAGAUGAAGCGCCAGCUGGGUUGGAUGCUCUUGCCUGAACGAAUGCAUGUGGGUUUUCCCCACAGCAGAGCUUGAUCUGAAGACCUGGGUGCAGGGAAGAAGCAGAGAGAUGGGGAAGGAGGAAGAGCAUUACCAAGAGUCCACACUGCUUUGAGCAGUACCGGCAUUACUCCCCCCGCCCGGCCCCUUUCAGGAAGCAUCUAGAUGCCUCUAGAAGACAGAUGUUUCUUCAGUGCUUCUGUCCCCUGUCACUGAAGGGACCUGCACUUGCCGGGGGCCUAGUGGGCCCUGAAAGACCCCUGCCUGUCCCCUGGACAGUGGUGACAAGUUCCUGAUAUUCUUCCUGCCUCUGUGUCUGCCUCCAACCUGCCCUGCGUGUACUGUCGGAGUAGCCUUCAAAGGAACUCCUGGCUCGCAAGGCUUCAUGAUGUCACUGAGAAGAGAUUAGCUGCUCGGGAUGGCUCCCCAGAUCUCUCCAGUUGACCUCAGACUCCUUGCAGGGAGCCUGGCCCCAGGCCAGCACCACUAGCACCCCCGGGCAC